UGCAUCGGCCGGGAAUUGAACCCGGGCCGGCCGCGUGGCAGGCGAGUAUCUACCACUGAACGAACCGAUGG
RNAcentral lists this transfer RNA (71 nucleotides) under Cordylochernes scorpioides. RNAcentral describes it as "tRNA-Gly". The record is from RNAcentral. Lineage: Eukaryota; Metazoa; Arthropoda; Arachnida; Pseudoscorpiones; Chernetidae.